Molecule: long non-coding RNA, 1653 nt
Filed under: Pelobates cultripes (western spadefoot toad)
Lineage: Eukaryota; Metazoa; Chordata; Amphibia; Anura; Pelobatidae
Source: RNAcentral
CAGGACUCUGACUGGGCCACUUCAGAAGGCGUAUUUUCUUCUGUUUAAGCCAUUCUGUUGUUGAUUUACUUCUAUGCUUUGGGUCAUUGUCCUGUUGCAACACCCAUCUUCUGUUGAGCUUCGGCUGGUAGACAGAUGGCUUUAAGUUCUCCUGCAAAAUGUCUUAAUAAACUUGGGAAUUCAUUUUUCCUUCGAUGAUAGCAAUCCGUCCAGGUCCUGACGCAGCAAAGCAGCCCCAAACCAUGAUGCCCCCACCACCAUACUUCACAGUUGGGAUGAGGUUUUGAUGUUGGUGUGCUGUGCCUUUUUUUCGCCACACAUGGUGUUGUAUGUUUCUUCCAAACAACUCAACCUUGGUUGAUGACUUAAAGGUAGGCAGACAAUGUAAUAGAGCAGCAGGAAAUGCUAGCAGAAUGCUUGGUUGUAUAGGGAGAGGUAUUAGCAGUAGAAAGAGGGAAGUGCUCAUGCCAUUGUACAGAACACUGGUGAGACCUCACUUGGAGUAUUGUACACAGUACUGGAGACCGUAUCUUCAGAAGGAUAUUGAUACCUUAGAGAGGGUUCAGAGAAGGGCUACUAAACUGGUUCAUGGAUUGCGGGAUAAAACUUACCAGGAAAGGUUAAAGGAUCUUAACAUGUAUAGCUUGGAGGAAAGACGAGACAGGGGGGAUAUGAUAGAAACAUUUAAAUAUAUAAAGGGAAUCAACACAGUAAAGAAGGAGACUAUAUUUAAAAGAAGAAAAACUACCACAACAAGAGGACAUAGUCUUAAAUUAGAGGGACAAAGGUUUAAAAAUAAUAUCAGGAAGUAUUACUUUACUGAGAGGGUAGUGGAUGCAUGGAAUAACCUUCCAGCUGAAGUGGUAGAGGUUAACACAGUAAAGGAUUUUAAGCAUGCGUGGGAUAGGCAUAAGGCUAUCCUAACUAUAAGAUAAGGCUAGGGACUAAUGAAAGUAUUUAGAAAAAUGGGCAGACUAGAUGGGCCGAAUGGUUCUUAUUUGCCGUCACAUUCUAUGUUUCUAUGUUUCAUCUGUCCACAGAAUAUUUUGUCAGUACUGCUGUGGAACAUCCAGGUGCUCUUGUGCAAACUGUAAACGUGCAGCAAUGUUUUGUUUGGACAGCAGUGGCUUCCUCUGUGGUAUCCUCCCAUGAAAUCCAUUCUUGUUUAGUGUUUUACAUAUUGUAGAUUCUCUAACAGGGAUGUUAGCAUUUGCCAGUGACUUUUGUAAGUCUUUAGCUGACACUCUAUGAUUCUUCUUCACCUCAUUGAGCAGUCUGCGCUGUGCUCUUGCAGUCAUCUUUACAGGACGGCCACUCCUAGGGAGAGUAGCAGCAGUGCUGAACUUUCUCCAUUUAUAGACAAUUUGUCUUACCGUGGACUGAUGAACAGCAAGGCUUUUGGAGAUACUUUUAUAACCCUUUCCAGCUUUAUGCAAGUCAACAAUUCUUAAUCGUAGGUCUUCUGAGAGCUCUUUUGUGCGAGGCAUCAUUCACAUCAGGCAAUGCUUCUUGUGAAAAGCAAACCCAGAACUGGUGUGUGUUUUUUAUAGGGCAGGGCAGCUGUAACCAACACCUCCAAUCUCAUCUCAUUGAUUGGACUCCAGUUGGCUGACAUCUCACUCCAAUUAGCUCUUGGAGAUGUCAUUAGUCUAG